RNAcentral lists this ribosomal RNA (462 nucleotides) under uncultured bacterium. RNAcentral's name for it is "partial 16S ribosomal RNA". It matches the Rfam family "Bacterial small subunit ribosomal RNA", at positions 28 to 507 of the family's 1533-position model. The record is from RNAcentral.
GACGAACGCUGGCGGCGUGCUUAACACAUGCGAGUCGAGCGGAAAGGCCCUUCGGGGUACUCGAGCGGCGAACGGGUGAGUAACACGUGAGUAACCUGCCCCAGACUUUGGGAUAACCCUCGGAAACGGGGGCUAAUACCGGAUACGACACAGCUUCGCAUGGGGUCUGUGUGGAAAGUUUUUCGGUUUGGGAUGGGCUCGCGGCCUAUCAGCUUGUUGGUGGGGUGAUGGCCUACCAAGGCGACGACGGGUAGCCGGCCUGAGAGGGCGACCGGCCACACUGGGACUGAGACACGGCCCAGACUCCUACGGGAGGCAGCAGUGGGGAAUUUUGCACAAUGGGCGGAAGCCUGAUGCAGCGACGCCGCGUGAGGGAUGACGGCCUUCGGGUUGUAAACCUCUUUCAGCAGGGACGAAGCGUAAGUGACGGUACCUGCAGAAGAAGCGCCGGCCAACUACGUG